GACGAACGCUGGCGGUGUGCUUCACACAUGCAAGUCGAACGAGGUAGCAAUACCUAGUGGCGGACGGGUGAGUAACGCGUGGGAAUCUGCCUUUAGAUGGGGGAUAACGAGCCGAAAGGUUCGCUAAUACCGCAUAGGUCGCAAGAUUAAAGGAGUAAUCCGUCUAGAGAUGAGCCCGCGUCCGAUUAGCUAGUUGGUAGGGUAAAGGCCUACCAAGGCGACGAUCGGUAGCUGGUCUGAGAGGAUGAUCAGACCACAAUGGGACUGAGACACGGCCCAUACUCCUACGGGAGGCAGCAGUGGGGAAUUUUACGCAAUGGGCGAAAGCCUGACGUAGCGACACCGCGUGAGCGAAGAAGCCCUUUGGGGUGUAAAGCUCUGUCGGCUGGAACGAAAAAAUGACGGUACCAGCAAAGGAAGCAUCGGCUAACUACGUGCCAGCAGCCGCGGUAAGUCGUGUGACA
Molecule: ribosomal RNA, 464 nt
Filed under: uncultured bacterium
Lineage: Bacteria
Description: bacterial SSU rRNA
Rfam family: Bacterial small subunit ribosomal RNA
Source: RNAcentral